CGCGUAGGCGGGUGGUCAAGUCAGUCGUGAAAUCUCCGGGCUCAACCUGGAGGGGCCGGCUGAGACUGAUUGUCUUGAGGGAAGCAGAGGAGUCUGGAAUUCCCGGUGUAGCGGUGAAAUGUGUAGAGAUCGGGAGGAACACCGGUGGCGAAGGCGGGGCUCUGGGCUUUUCCUGACGCUGAGGCGCGAAAGCGUGGGGAGCAAACG
This 207-nucleotide ribosomal RNA is filed under the name uncultured bacterium. RNAcentral's name for it is "partial 16S ribosomal RNA". It matches the Rfam family "Bacterial small subunit ribosomal RNA", at positions 568 to 774 of the family's 1533-position model. The record is from RNAcentral.